This is a non-coding RNA of Schistosoma haematobium, 48 nucleotides long. The record is from Rfam. Lineage: Eukaryota; Metazoa; Platyhelminthes; Trematoda; Strigeidida; Schistosomatidae.
AUCCAGCUGAUGACUCCCAAAUAGGAUUAAACGCGCGUCAAACUGGAU